This 77-nucleotide small RNA is filed under the name Xanthomonas sp. 4461. Its description in RNAcentral is "sRNA sX9". It matches the Rfam family "Xanthomonas sRNA sX9". Lineage: Bacteria; Pseudomonadati; Pseudomonadota; Gammaproteobacteria; Lysobacterales; Lysobacteraceae. The record is from RNAcentral.
AUGCACCGCGCGUACCCUCGGGUUCCGGGCGCGCCGUCCACGCCCAUCCGAUGCUUGCUCGCUGCGUCGUGUUAGCC